AUUGAACGCUGGCGGCAGGCCUAACACAUGCAAGUCGAACGGUAACAGGAAGCAGCUUGCUGCUUUGCUGACGAGUGGCGGACGGGUGAGUAAUGUCUGGGAAACUGCCCGAUGGAGGGGGAUAACUACUGGAAACGGUAGCUAAUACCGCAUAACGUCGCAAGACCAAAGAGGGGGACCUUAGGGCCUCUUGCCAUCGGAUGUGCCCAGAUGGGAUUAGCUAGUAGGUGGGGUACCGGCUCACCGAGGCGACGAUCCCUAGCUGGUCUGAGAGGAUGACCAGCCACACUGGAACUGAGACACGGUCCAGACUCCUACGGGAGGCAGCAGUGGGGAAUAUUGCACAAUGGGCGCAAGCCUGAUGCAGCCAUGCCGCGUGUAUGAAGAAGGCCUUCGGGUUGUAAAGUACUUUCAGCGGGGAGGAAGGGAGUAAAGUUAAUACCUUUGCUCAUUGACGUUACCCGCAGAAGAAGCACCGGCUAACUCCGUG
This 490-nucleotide ribosomal RNA is filed under the name uncultured bacterium. Its description in RNAcentral is "partial 16S ribosomal RNA". It matches the Rfam family "Bacterial small subunit ribosomal RNA", at positions 30 to 507 of the family's 1533-position model. The record is from RNAcentral.